GACGAACGCUGGCGGCGUGCUUAACACAUGCAAGUCGAACGGAAAGGCCCUGCUCUUGUUGGGUGGUCGAGUGGCGAACGGGUGAGUAACACGUGAGUAACCUGCCCUUGACUUUGGGAUAACUUCACGGAACUGGGGCGAAUAUCGGAUAGGAUCUCCUGCUGCUUGGUGGUGGUUGGAAAGUUUCGGCCGUUGUGUCUGUACUCGCGGCUUAUGAGCCUGUUGGUGGGGUAGUGGCUGUCGAAGGCUUUGACGGGUAGCCGGCCUGAGAGGGGUUCCGGCCACAUUGGGACUGAGAUAGGGCGCAGAAGCGUACGGUAGGCAGCAGUGGGGAAUAUUGCACAGUGGGCGGGAGCCUGAUGCGACGGCGCCGCGUGCGGGAUGACGGCCUUCGGGUUGUGAACCGCUUUCGCCUGUGACGUGGCGUGAGUGACGGUAAUGGGUAAAGAAGCACCGGCUAACUACGUG
Molecule: ribosomal RNA, 468 nt
Filed under: uncultured bacterium
Lineage: Bacteria
Description: partial 16S ribosomal RNA
Rfam family: Bacterial small subunit ribosomal RNA
Source: RNAcentral